Molecule: long non-coding RNA, 1935 nt
Organism: Oncorhynchus mykiss (rainbow trout)
Lineage: Eukaryota; Metazoa; Chordata; Actinopteri; Salmoniformes; Salmonidae
Source: RefSeq, a predicted model, not a curated record
UUGUGCGUUGUUAUUCUAGGUUUAGUUACCUGUUUGCACUAGUCAUAUAGCUUCACGGUUUGUUCAGGAUUCUCUCUUUAUUAAAAGAGUUAUGUACGCUUAUCACGCUGCGCCUUGGUUUCCUCAUUAUUACAACCGUGACAAUACAAUUGAACAAAGCUGAAUAAAAUAUAAAUAUUUUCUCCCAAAAUAUUUGAGGCAGUGUGCACAUGCGGCCAUUCUGUGUUGAGCAGUUAAUAAAGAAAUAGAUACUCGUAUUGUCACGCCUGCUCCCGCUUUCCCCCGCGCCAGGCAUCAGUGAUUAUUGGAUUCACCUGGACUCCAUCACUUCUGUCAUUACCUUCCCUCUAUAUGUCUGGUUCCCCGCUCUGUUUCCUGCUUCAGCAUUGAUUGUCGUAUGUCCUUGUUUACCCGCCUAAUGGUCUUCACAUCUGACUCAUUACGAAAAAAAAAAAAUCUUCAUCCAGUUUGAGAUGAAUGAGUUCAUGCGCAUAUCUACUGCACCUCUGCUAUCUACAUUAUUUGUUGAGCUCAACCGGGUACUCUCCACACAUGGUGGAGAUCUUUCGAUGCAAAGGUUUGGAAGAAAAAGGAUACAUCUCAUGGUGGCCAUGUCCAAGGAUGACACAAUACAUACAAGACGGGCAUGCGUCCUCAAGUCCUUGUGCAUCUACCUAAACGAAGACCAUGAGAAACUUGUGAAGGAAUAUAUGACCUCAAGUCCAACGCUUCCAUGGAGCAAACUGUGAUGUCAUACAGAAGGAGGGAGCGGAGCCUGGAGAUGACCCAGAGGACAUCGGUGUCCUGAUUGAAGAAUAUUCUUCUAAAUCUGGAUGGGCAGAGGUUGUCGUCCAAGGCGCGGAUCCUAAAAAACAAGCUUCUGGAGUGACUAAGCUUGAAGAAGACUGACGCCUGGAAUUUGUAAUGCAUAUUUUUUUUGUGUUUAACUUUGGAAGUUGAAAAUUAGAAGUCAUACAAUUUUUCAAAAUAACUAUUUAAUUUAGUUUGCUCAAUGGACUGAGACUAAGAUGGUCUCAUAGGUUGAAAGUCUCCUACAUUUGUGUGUUGGUGGAGCAGACACAGAGCAGUGUUGUUGAACACAUGUUCAUUAAAUAGAAUAAAUACGUUAUUAAUGGUUAUAGCCUCCUUAAAAUGUAGCACUUGUAUUUAAAAAAAACAUUUUUUUUAACCAAAAUGGCAAAAAGAUUGUGCAAGCAACAUUGCAGUCAUUUUUCACUACUUCUGAUUUAUUUGUACAUUAUUUGCAAUGCGCAUGUGUAGAAUGUAAUAAUUCAGUGUUUAAAACAGUGUUAAAAUUCAUUUUGUUGCAGUCAUGCACAUCUUGCUGGAUUAUUUGUUAACUUUGUUUUUAUUACGGGCCACAUAUUUUGUAUGUUCCAAUGUUUAUUUUAUUACAUUUUUAUAAAUGUGUUUAAUUGUUGCACUUAGACUUGCUAAACUUGAAAUGACAGAAGUCAUGCACAAAUCCUUUUCUUAAUGAGCCUCGGUUUUUUUGUUGGCAAAAAUAUUCUACAUGCAUUUGUUGAAAAAACUGUUGAAUGUUAACCUUAAAGGACAGAAGUGCACACAUUUUGCAAGACUGUUUAGUGUAUGAUUUGGAAGUGAAUACAGCAUUCUCAAAUGCAUAAUGUGGUUAAUAUUUGACACAAACAAAAUAAGUCUUGGCGAAAAUUGGUUUAUUUGGUGCUUUUCAUUGAGUGCUGGAAGGAAUUAAGUCUCUUACUGUUUUAGUCAGUAAUUAAGUUAAAAAGGACAAUAUAACAUUUUGGCGAUGUGUGAAAGAGCUAAUGAUGGUAACGAUCUGGUGUAAUGUUAGGUUCACAGGAGGCCAGCGGUUUUCCAUUUGCGUAAUCCUUCAACUGUGCUAAACUGUUCUGAUGAAAGAAGCAAUAAAACUGGCCUUCGUUAGACUAG